AAGUCGUAACAAGGUUUCCGUAGGUGAACCUGCGGAAGGAUCAUUACAACGUAUCCACGUAUAAACAAACGCGAACGUCCCGUUAGGGGUAAAAACCAGGGGAGCCUGGCAUGAAGUUAUUCGGCUGAACUGCUAAUUAUGUGCUUUGUCGAUGGAGUUGCUCUUGCAGCAACUGAAGCACGAGUUCGGCCCGGUUAAUCCGGACUUCGUUUACCUCUAACGUGUAUCAACCAUCGGUUAAUAUGUACCUUUAUUAACCCUAUGUACCUUUUGAACUAAACUAUUCUUCGAUACCACAGAAGCCUUGUUGGCUUAGCCACGGCUGAAGGGUUCGUAGAAAUUGAUACCAAAUUAAGAACAAUUCUUAACAACGGAUAUCUUGGUUCUC
Molecule: unclassified non-coding RNA, 388 nt
Filed under: fungal sp.
Lineage: Eukaryota; Fungi
Description: partial internal transcribed spacer region
Rfam family: Eukaryotic small subunit ribosomal RNA (bases 1-46)
Source: RNAcentral